This is a non-coding RNA of Cordylochernes scorpioides, 71 nucleotides long. NCBI's taxonomy places the organism in Eukaryota, Metazoa, Arthropoda, Arachnida, Pseudoscorpiones, Chernetidae. The record is from the annotation of a GenBank genome assembly.
GCAUCGGUGGUUCAGUGGUAGAAUGCUCGCCUGCCACGCGGGCGGCCAGGGUUCGAAAAUAGGCCGAUUCA